RNAcentral lists this ribosomal RNA (706 nucleotides) under Pseudomonas sp. RNAcentral's name for it is "bacterial SSU rRNA". It matches the Rfam family "Bacterial small subunit ribosomal RNA", at positions 51 to 752 of the family's 1533-position model. Lineage: Bacteria; Pseudomonadati; Pseudomonadota; Gammaproteobacteria; Pseudomonadales; Pseudomonadaceae. The record is from RNAcentral.
ACACAUGCAAGUCGAGCGGUAGAGAGAAGCUUGCUUCUCUUGAGAGCGGCGGACGGGUGAGUAAUGCCUAGGAAUCUGCCUGGUAGUGGGGGAUAACGCUCGGAAACGGACGCUAAUACCGCAUACGUCCUACGGGAGAAAGCAGGGGACCUUCGGGCCUUGCGCUAUCAGAUGAGCCUAGGUCGGAUUAGCUAGUUGGUGGGGUAAUGGCUCACCAAGGCGACGAUCCGUAACUGGUCUGAGAGGAUGAUCAGUCACACUGGAACUGAGACACGGUCCAGACUCCUACGGGAGGCAGCAGUGGGGAAUAUUGGACAAUGGGCGAAAGCCUGAUCCAGCCAUGCCGCGUGUGUGAAGAAGGUCUUCGGAUUGUAAAGCACUUUAAGUUGGGAGGAAGGGCAGUAACCUAAUACGUUGCUGUCUUGACGUUACCGACAGAAUAAGCACCGGCUAACUCUGUGCCAGCAGCCGCGGUAAUACAGAGGGUGCAAGCGUUAAUCGGAAUUACUGGGCGUAAAGCGCGCGUAGGUGGUUUGUUAAGUUGGAUGUGAAAUCCCCGGGCUCAACCUGGGAACUGCAUUCAAAACUGACAAGCUAGAGUAUGGUAGAGGGUGGUGGAAUUUCCUGUGUAGCGGUGAAAUGCGUAGAUAUAGGAAGGAACACCAGUGGCGAAGGCGACCACCUGGACUGAUACUGACACUGAGGU